AAACUGCAUUUAAAUGAUUCGUAACUCUGAGAACGACUCGUUAAUCCACCACACACACACACACAGUAAAAAAAGAAAAAGAAAAAAGAAAAACAUCCUCUACUACAGUGCCAAUUAUAAACAAACCUCUGAAUCUCUGUUUAAACUUUGAUCAGAAAACAUGAACUGUGAAUCAACACCUUCACAAUCAGUUGGUCGUGUUAUCGUCGUAACGUGUGGAAGGAGUCUCCAGUGUCAGAGCUGCUGGGACCAUGUUCGCUAAACCCUCCAGUAAUGCAGCUCAGCCGCCGUGAGAUAAACAUCGUAUAAAGGAUUUGGUUUUCUGCAUCGCCCAAAAGAACCGAGGCCCAAUUUCUGAAGCAUAAUACGCAAAAAAAUGACACAAAAGUAAGUACAAAAAUUAUCGCUACGAUCAGUAAGCCAGGACAGACGGGCUCCAGUUAUUGUGUUAUGAAAAGUUUUUCGAGGCCACGAUUACAUAAAUUAAUAAACAAUGUAUAAGCAACAAACAUUCUUAUAUCUUUAUGUUCACCCGCAAUGUUCUCCAGGUCCCUCGUGAGGUGAAAAUCCCUCAGGACUAAAAUAAAAUGCCGGAGAACAAUUCAAUACCCAGCCGUGAAUACAGGAACUGACGGAGGUGAGAAAACAAUCCUGCAUUAAUCAUGACGAUGCGUCCGAAAGACACGCGCAAGUACUUUAGCUGGAGUGGAAGGAGAAAAGCAGGGAUGUGCUGCAGUUCCUGCUGCUGUGCAGAAGAAAAAUAAAUAAAUAAAUAAAUAAAUAAAAAGUACUCCUGUGUUCAAGGAACAGCCCACGGCACGGAGAAGAAGCAAAAGUGUCGCCUGAUAUCUGCAGAUCUCGGCUGAGACACAUUACAAUGAAGAACGGAUUUGUUUUUUUUUAAUGGGAGAACAAAUGAAACGUUCUUCGUGAAUGUAACGUGAAAGCAAUUUUUGAAAUAAACGACUGCGCAAUAAAAACACAACAAACGCAGACCCACAUGCGUCAGGGUGUAAUUUGCAUUUAUAUUAACGCAGAUCGCGGCAUCGCUCCGAUCUCUUUUGGUGUGGACACCGAGACAAGGACGUUUUCAGGGGACCCUCGGUAACAAACUGCACGUUCAGCUAAAUCUGUCAAAUAUGAAAAGCUCGGAUGCGAGCGACAAAAAAACAAACAAUCGUGUCCUGAAAAUAAAGCGAAUGCAAAGUAGACAGAAACAUUUCCCGGACCGGGGGAAGGAUGACGACGUCCAGCGGUAAAGAGGUGUUAAAAUCAGAGCCGUGGGCUUUUAAUAAAGGCCUCGAACCUUCACACUCCCCUGGUGCAUGUUAGCAGUUUGCUUCUGUCCCUAUUAUUUUGUGGAAUGGCAAGAGAUUUAUACCGGCUGUUAUUUAGACGGUGUUGUAUGCAAAUCGGGAAUAUUUAUGGAAAUAAUAAUUACAACUGUUUAAUUAUUAUUGCUCAAAUUUUAUUAGGUUUCAUUCGAGCCCAUUUUACAUCAGACCCAGCAGUGCUGCUGCAAGUCAGUGUUAUUAAUCGCGAUGAAUGCUGUUCUUAUUUAGAGAAUAAUCUAUAUAAAAACACACACACACACACACCAAAGGUUUUCUUGGUUAUGAAACAAAAUGUCAGCCUAAACAGACAUUACUUUCAGCACCGAAAGCAGAGUGUGAUGACUGAAGGUCAGCGGAACAGAAGGCAGGACUGUGACUGUUGCUAGGGUUCGUGUUUGGUUUACUACAAGUAUUGAUUCAGGACGAAUUCGACAUCAAUGAGAAAGACACUAAAGGCUGAACUGACUGGACCACACACACACAUACACACACCAUAUAGACCUGAUUCAAGUAAUGAAGUUAGAGCUGACUGCAGUUGGUUGGUUAUACGGUCUUUAUAAAAUCAGCCCCGAGUGUGUUUUAUCUCGCUCUCUGUCCUCUUUGUCAUUCGUGAAUCAAGGUCGUAUAACUGCAGAAGGGAGAUGGAAAGGGGAGGGUGGUGGUGGUGGGGGAGUCUUGGUCCCUGCUUUAUAGAAUAUAUUCAUGUAUGCACGUGUGUGUGUGUGUGUGAGUGAGAGAGAGAGAGAGAGAGAGAGAGAGAGAGAGAGAGAGAGAGAGAGAGAGAGAGAGAGAGAGAGAGAGAGAGAGAGAGAAUGAGAGUGAGAAUGAGAAUGUGUGUGUGUGUUUGGAAUGUUUAGAAUCUCGGCUUUAUUCGCCGACCCAAAGAAUACCUCCAGAACACAGUAUGGUGUGAGGAUCGAACCCGAACUCUUACAUCAUCGGCAAUUUGAAAAUCCAUCCAGAUUUUUAUAACAAGGUGGAAGUUUCAUGGCGUCGAGGCCGACACUGACGCUGGCACUGACGCAAUUUUCUCCCCCUUAUGAUCUGGGCUGGUUCCCAUCAGCAGUACAUCUGCCAUCAGAUUUGCACCAGCAGGAGAUCGCUCUUCAUCUCAGGCUCCAGUGAGUUCUCAGCGCCGCACUCAUCCUCACACACAGCCCUCAUUCUCUCCGGCUCCAUAUGCAAAAGGUGCGUACGUCGCUAACGAGACAAAUCAACACAACCCUAGCGGAAUUCGCUGGAAAUUUAAGUCUAGUUGUGUUACAUUUUGAGAGGUUAAGUAAAGGAUUAGCAACCAGCAUUUUCUGCAGUAAAACUGCAGCUAACCAAAAGUUUUGGUACCCCGUAUAUAUGGAUACUGAUGCUACCUUGCAUAUGGAGAAAGAGAACAGCCAUCAUGACCAUUUCCUGGUGUGUUAUUGUACAUUAAGUGUGUGUGCGCACGCGCAUGUGCUUUCUGAGCUCGCCGUCGACAGCGACGCGCUUUCCUGCUCUGCUGAGACGAGGAAUUUAUUCCACGUUGCUCUGAGUUGGCAAAGCGAGCCGUGGCACUGAUGGAUGGCACAGCGCAUUCUUCCUCUCGAGCAGAUUCCCACAGGCGAGCAGAUGGCUCUGCCCAGCUUCUCUCUCUCACAGGCAUCCGUGGGCGUGCUGAGUGGGCACGGAGAUGCCCUCCUGGGGCGGAUUACUCCACCCCACAGCCCACAGUGCCGGUGCUCGUGCCAUAAUGACUAGCAUUACUCAAUGCAAUAAUUUUCUCCUCUUCUCUCAUGCCCUGUUGAUCUGCUCAGACACUGCCAUUGUUCCAGCUGUGAAUGUGCCAAAUCCAUGGUAUUUAUACACACACAUCCAUAUAUAUAUAUAUAUAUAUAUAUAUAUAUUUUUUUUUUAAAAUACUGUUAUAUAACGUAACAGAUACUCAACAAAUCCUCCAUCUUGUCAAGUUGCACACAAAUGUUUCAUGAUCAUAAGCCAUUUUAUCAUGUUUUUUAUAUUUCUCAUACUUUUUGAUUCCUUUCUGCAAUGUUCCAUGAUGCAGUAUUUUACACACACACACACACACACACACACACACACACACACUAUAUAUAUAUAUUAUCUAGAUAUACCUAAUAUCUUCUCGCCGGUUUGGCAGCUUGAUGGGUUUGAUUUUUGUUGAAGAGAAUAUAUGUAUAUGCAGUUCUCAGUUUUAACGCCCAGGCAUGUUUAUAGUGAAUCUUCUUUAUAAGAAGACGACGCAUUUUUUUACACCUUUACUCGUGUAAUCCCGCGUUACUGCAGAUGUUUUGUUUAUUAUUACAUUGCUAAAUAAAUAAAGAGCAGAUUAAAUGUGCAGCGUGUCGGGAAGUGCGUCGGGUAAAAACGCGAGCUCUUGUUACGCGGCGUAGCUUUCGUUAGCGCAUUAAGACAGGAGCUGCACGUCGGGUUCCGCCCGGCGGCUAACUGGAGGGAUCUCGAGGGGGACGGACGCGGCGGAUUUUUGUGGACGCUUCAGCACUUCUUGAUUUUUGCAGAGAAACGAGCAUCACGUGCGACUCUGCUGUUGUUUCAGUCUGCUUGUGCAAGUAGUUCUAUUUUUUAUUAAUAAAACUAUUUUGUGGACGCAGUUUGUCUUUAAAAAGCCGUUUUAUUCAUUAUUUAUUUAAGGAAGGUGUCCAGGUUUAACUGUUUAACUCUCCUUGUUUUUCUUCCCAUCUCCACACCCCACUGUGUUGCACAGUGUGUAGGCUGAUGUGUUAUUUCUACUUAAUCUCUAUAGACACAUUUCUCUCAGUCUCUAUUUUUAAAUCCAUCAUCAUGAGUGUACACAAAAACACUAAACACACAAGAACAGGCAAGAAAUCCCUCCCGAUUAAAGGAGCCGUUGCUAAUUUUUCUGGAGCCCCCUGCUGCCUACAAGAAGAACUGCAAUGAUACAACAUUAAGCAGCUCCACACUAUUCCACUCAAAACAAACUGCUCUGUAUGAAUCUGAACUUACAGCUGGAGACUGGUUUUCUGGGCCAGAAACCUGCUGACAGCGUUCACCCUGGACAUUUCUUUAUUUUUCAGCUGGAGCUCUUGUGAUGUUUUUUUUUUUUUGCCUUUGCUGAAGAUUUAGGAGACAGAAAUUCAAGCGAGUUUGAGCUGCUUGUGUGAUCUGACAGUCACGGUGAAAGUGGAUCGUCACAACAAACGCAUGCGGUUAUUUUUAGCAACACUAUUGGAAAAUAAACUAUUUUUUCUAUUCAGCACGUCCUAAAUCUCUACGGUGACUCAUUUCUCUUCUCACUUGCCUUUCAAAUUGUGACCUGACGGAUCAGGAGGUUUAAAAAUAAAGCCUGAUGUCAUUCUGUGCCAAAAAUA
Molecule: long non-coding RNA, 4678 nt
Organism: Tachysurus fulvidraco (yellow catfish)
Lineage: Eukaryota; Metazoa; Chordata; Actinopteri; Siluriformes; Bagridae
Exons: 2
Source: RefSeq, a predicted model, not a curated record